GACGAACGCUGGCGGCGUGCUUAACACAUGCAAGUCGAACGGAAAGGCCCUGCGUUCGCUGUACUCGAGUGGCGAACGGGUGGGUAAGUCACAGGUGGUCUGCCCUGCUCUUCGAGUUGAGUCUCGUAGACAGGGUCUAGUAACUGCUAUGACCUUUCUUGUAGUGCAGGGGGCGGUAGGGAUUCUCGGUGUGGGUUUAGCUCGAGGCCGAUCAGCUUGUGGGUUGGGUAAUGGCCUACGAAGGGGUCGACGGGUAGCCGGCCUUGGAGGGUGGACGGGCACAAUGGGCCUGCGAUACGGCCCAGACUCGAACGGGCGGCAGCAGUGGAGAACCUUGCACAAUGGGCGGAAGCGUGAUGCAGAGACGCCGCGUGGGUGAUGCCGUCCUUUGGGUUGUAAACCUCUUUCGACAGAGACGAAGCCUUGGUGACGGUACCUGAAUAAGAAGCACCGGCUAACUACGUG
This 465-nucleotide ribosomal RNA is filed under the name uncultured bacterium. RNAcentral describes it as "partial 16S ribosomal RNA". It matches the Rfam family "Bacterial small subunit ribosomal RNA", at positions 28 to 507 of the family's 1533-position model. The record is from RNAcentral.